Molecule: long non-coding RNA, 893 nt
Organism: Malania oleifera
Lineage: Eukaryota; Viridiplantae; Streptophyta; Magnoliopsida; Santalales; Ximeniaceae
Exons: 2
Source: RefSeq, a predicted model, not a curated record
CCAGCUUUAGGGCACCACAACAUGCCCUGAUCUGCCCUCCAAUCCCAAACACACCCUUCCAUUUUCCCACUCUCUUUCUCCCCUUUCCUUUUCCUGUGGAAACGUGCCGCCACUGUACAUUAAAGAGCACUCUUCUCUGCAUGCGGGAAUAAAAGAUUAGGGUCUCCAUUCACAACCCAUACACAAAGCUUAAUUUCUAAUUUUCUACUACUACUACUACACCCUUUCUCUUUCAAUUGCUUCUGUAGCUGGCGAGUCCCCUACAUAUUAUAUUUUUCUAAUGUAUCAUGUAUAGUCCUCAUAUUAUGUCUAUAUCUAUAUAUAUAUGUCCCUCUUUCUCUCCUUCCUCAAUUCAUUCUAGCUGAUAUAUUUUUAUUAUCUCUCCAUGGCUUCAACUGAUCUUGAGUUUGUGAGAAGACCCAUCUCCAACUUUCAGCCCCAAUGGAAGUCUUGUAGAAUUUUCUCCUAUUUACACGAGUUGGACUGCUUCUCCAACUGCCCUCUUGAAUUUAGAGGCCUCUGCAAGCCAAGAACAUGAGAUGAGUGAAGGUCAUCCAUGCAAGGGGAAUCAAGCACUCCUGUGCCCGCCGAAUCCCUCUUGCAAUAGCCCAUGAUACGAGCUUUCAACUCAGACAUCUGGAGUUCGAGAUUCCACUCGCAUUCAGGCUGGCACAUGUGACGAGUUGCAAAACCCCUUCAUUACGUAUAACAAUGACUUUACGUUACGAGCUUUAGAAAGAACCGAUCAAUUUACUUUCAGAUCAUUCAUUAUAUGUAGCUGCUGUAGCCAUAGAAUCACCAUUUCUCACAUUAGCAAAAGGGCAAUAUGUACUAAGCAUCCAAAUUAUGUUACUAUUGAAAUUUUAAUCAUUGGGUAUGUGAUGAAUUCCUAA